RNAcentral lists this ribosomal RNA (480 nucleotides) under uncultured bacterium. RNAcentral's name for it is "partial 16S ribosomal RNA". It matches the Rfam family "Bacterial small subunit ribosomal RNA", at positions 28 to 506 of the family's 1533-position model. The record is from RNAcentral.
GACGAACGCUGGCGGCGUGCUUAACACAUGCAAGUCGAACGAAGCACUCUAUUUGAUUUCCUUCGGGACUGUUUAUUUUGUGACUGAGUGGCGGACGGGAGAGUAACGUGUCGGUAAGCUGCCUUGUACAGGGGGAUAAUAGUUGGAAACGGCUGCUAAUACCGCAUAAGGGGCCAGCAUCGGAUGAGGCAGUUGGAAAAACUCCGGGGGUAUAAGAUGGACCUGCGUGGGUUUAGGUAGUCGGUGAGGUAACGGCCCACCCAGGCGACGAGCCAGAGCCGGCCGGGGAGCGUACCCGGCCCAAUUGGGACUGGGCCACGACCCAAACUCCAACGGGAGGCGGCGGUGGGGAAUAUUGCACAAGGGGCGAAAGCCAGAUGCGCCGACGCCGGGUGGGCGGAGAAGUAUUUCGAUAUGUAAAGCUCUAUCAGCGGGGAGGAUAAUACCGGAACCUGACUAGGAGGCACCGGCAAAUUACUU